GGCCCCUUGGUCAAGCGGUUAAGACACCGCCCUCUCACGGCGGUAACAGGGGUUCGAAUCCCCUAGGGGUCACCA
Molecule: transfer RNA, 75 nt
Filed under: Acetivibrio clariflavus
Lineage: Bacteria; Bacillati; Bacillota; Clostridia; Acetivibrionales; Acetivibrionaceae
Also listed under: 1 other name
Description: tRNA-Glu
Rfam family: tRNA
About the family: Transfer RNA (tRNA) molecules are approximately 80 nucleotides in length. Their secondary structure includes four short double-helical elements and three loops (D, anti-codon, and T loops).
Source: RNAcentral